This 253-nucleotide ribosomal RNA is filed under the name uncultured bacterium. RNAcentral describes it as "partial 16S ribosomal RNA". It matches the Rfam family "Bacterial small subunit ribosomal RNA", at positions 524 to 776 of the family's 1533-position model. The record is from RNAcentral.
UACGUAGGUGGCGAGCGUUGUCCGGAUUUACUGGGCGUAAAGGGAGCGUAGGCGGAUUUUUAAGUGAGAUGUGAAAUACUCGGGCUCAACUUGAGUGCUGCAUUUCAAACUGGAAGUCUAGAGUGCAGGAGAGGAGAAUGGAAUUCCUAGUGUAGCGGUGAAAUGCGUAGAGAUUAGGAAGAACACCAGUGGCGAAGGCGAUCCUCUGGACUGUAACUGACGCUGAGGCUCGAAAGCGUGGGGAGCAAACAGG